CCCUUAGAUGUUCUGGGCCGCACGCGUGCUACACUGAGUGGAUCAGCGGGUCAGGUUACGCGAGAGCGUUUCCUAAUCUUCAAAUCCGCUCGUGAUGGGGAUUGACGGUUGCAAUUUUCCGUCAUGAACGAGGAAUACCUUGUAAGCGCGGGUCAUCAUCCCGCGCUGAAUACGUCCCUGCCCUUUGUACACACCGCCCGUCACUCCUACCGAUUGAGUGGUCCGGUGAGGCUUUGGGAUCUGAGCGGAAAGAGCGUUUCGCUGUUUCUGCCCGGAAAACUCAGUCGAACCUUAUCAUUUAGAGGAAGGAGAAGUCGUAACA
RNAcentral lists this ribosomal RNA (322 nucleotides) under uncultured eukaryote. RNAcentral's name for it is "partial 18S ribosomal RNA". It matches the Rfam family "Eukaryotic small subunit ribosomal RNA", at positions 1470 to 1796 of the family's 1831-position model. The record is from RNAcentral.